AUGAUGGCGUCCUCUGCAGCACCGGCGUCGUCCUCCGCAGCACCGGCGUGCCGGGACAUGGCGCCCGCCGGCAUUCCCACGAUCGACAUGUCCGCGCCGGCGGGGCGGGCGGAGCUGUCCCGCCAGAUGGUGGAGGCGUUCGGCGAGCGCGGAUUCUUCAAGGCGGUCAACCACGGCGUGCCGCUGCGGGUGUCCGCCCGGCUGGACGCGGCCAGCGCGGCGUUCUUCGCGCGCCCGGCGGAGGAGAAGCAGCGGGCCGGCCCGCCGGACCCCCUGGGCUACGGCAGCCGGAGCAUCGGCUCCCACGGCGACGUCGGCGAGCUGGAGUACCUGAUCCUCCACACGGACCCCGAGGUGGUGGCUCGCAAGGCCAGGGCCAUCGAUAGGGACGACCCUUCGCGAUUCAGUGAGGCGGUAAACGAGUACGUGCAGGCGGUGAGGCACCUCGCCUGCCAGAUACUUGACCUGCUGGGCGAAGGCCUGGGCCUCCGGGACCCUGCGUCCUUGAGCAGGCUCGUCACGACCACGGACAGCGACUCCCUCGUCCGAAUCAACAACUACCCACCUUCAGCCACCGGCGAUGGCGGCGUGAAAGCCGCGAGCGCCGUCGGGUUCGGGGAGCACUCCGACCCACAGAUCCUCAGCGUCCUCCGUGCCAAUGAUGUCGAUGGCCUGCAGGUGCUCCUGCCGGACGGCCGCGGCGAGGACGCCUGGGUGCAAGUUCCGGCUGACCCUGCCGCCUUCUUCAUCAACGUCGGUGACCUUCUUCAGGCUUUGACAAAUGGGAAGCUGGUGAGCAUCCGGCAUAGGGUGAUGGCCAGCACCAGCAAGCCAAGGCUGUCAGCUAUCUACUUCGCGGCGCCGGCGUUGCACGAGUGUGUCUCGGCGCUCCCAGAGACGGUGACCGCCGACGCGCCGCGUCGGUACCGGCCGUUCACCUGGGCGGAAUACAAAAAGACGAUGUACACGCUUCGUCUGAGCCACAACCGCCUCGACCUCUUCAAAGUCGUCGGUGAAGGAUGUGGUUGA
Molecule: ribosomal RNA, 1029 nt
Filed under: Triticum aestivum (bread wheat)
Lineage: Eukaryota; Viridiplantae; Streptophyta; Magnoliopsida; Poales; Poaceae
Description: partial small subunit ribosomal RNA
Source: RNAcentral